This 409-nucleotide ribosomal RNA is filed under the name bacterium. RNAcentral describes it as "partial 16S ribosomal RNA". It matches the Rfam family "Bacterial small subunit ribosomal RNA", at positions 355 to 776 of the family's 1533-position model. The record is from RNAcentral.
UGGGGAAUAUUGCACAAUGGGCGAAAGCCUCAUGCAGCGCCGCCGCGUGAGGGAUGACGGCCUUCGGGUUGUAAACCUCUUUCAGCAGGGACGAAGCGCAAGUGACGGUACCUGCAGAAGAAGCACCGGCUAACUACGUGCCAGCAGCCGCGGUAAUACGUAGGGUGCAAGCGUUGUCCGGAAUUACUGGGCGUAAAGAGUUCGUAGGCGGUUUGUCGCGUCGUUUGUGAAAACCAGCAGCUCAACUGCUGGCUUGCAGGCGAUACGGGCAGACUUGAGUACUGCAGGGGAGACUGGAAUUCCUGGUGUAGCGGUGAAAUGCGCAGAUAUCAGGAGGAACACCGGUGGCGAAGGCGGGUCUCUGGGCAGUAACUGACGCUGAGGAACGACAGCGUGGGUAGCGAACAGG